This 195-nucleotide unclassified non-coding RNA is filed under the name plant metagenome. RNAcentral's name for it is "partial contains small subunit ribosomal RNA, internal transcribed spacer 1, and 5.8S ribosomal RNA". The record is from RNAcentral.
UCUCCGUUGGUGAACCAGCGGAGGGAUCAUUACCGAGUUUACAACUCCCAAACCCCUGUGAACAUACCAUUUGUUGCCUCGGCGGUGCCUGCUUCGGCAGCCCGCCAGAGGACCCAAACCCUUGAUUUUAUACAGUAUCUUCUGAGUAAAUGAUUAAAUAAAUCAAAACUUUCAACAACGGACCUCUUGGUUCUG